CAGAGCUGCUGCUAAUUGGU
RNAcentral lists this microRNA (20 nucleotides) under Callorhinchus milii (elephant shark). RNAcentral's name for it is "eshark_NOVEL_145". Lineage: Eukaryota; Metazoa; Chordata; Chondrichthyes; Chimaeriformes; Callorhinchidae. The record is from RNAcentral.